CGCGGGGUGGAGCAGUUCGGUAGCUCGCUGGGCUCAUAACCCAGAGGUCGCAGGUUCAAAUCCUGUCCCCGCCA
Molecule: transfer RNA, 74 nt
Filed under: Raineyella fluvialis
Lineage: Bacteria; Bacillati; Actinomycetota; Actinomycetes; Propionibacteriales; Propionibacteriaceae
Rfam family: tRNA
About the family: Transfer RNA (tRNA) molecules are approximately 80 nucleotides in length.
Source: Rfam by way of RNAcentral